RNAcentral lists this ribosomal RNA (1614 nucleotides) under Staphylococcus aureus. RNAcentral describes it as "partial 23S ribosomal RNA". It matches the Rfam family "Bacterial large subunit ribosomal RNA", at positions 1292 to 2904 of the family's 2925-position model. The record is from RNAcentral. Lineage: Bacteria; Bacillati; Bacillota; Bacilli; Caryophanales; Staphylococcaceae.
GAAUGCCGGUGUGAGUAGCGAAAGACGGGUGAGAAUCCCGUCCACCGAUUGACUAAGGUUUCCAGAGGAAGGCUCGUCCGCUCUGGGUUAGUCGGGUCCUAAGCUGAGGCCGACAGGCGUAGGCGAUGGAUAACAGGUUGAUAUUCCUGUACCACCUAUAAUCGUUUUAAUCGAUGGGGGGACGCAGUAGGAUAGGCGAAGCGUGCGAUUGGAUUGCACGUCUAAGCAGUAAGGCUGAGUAUUAGGCAAAUCCGGUACUCGUUAAGGCUGAGCUGUGAUGGGGAGAAGACAUUGUGUCUUCGAGUCGUUGAUUUCACACUGCCGAGAAAAGCCUCUAGAUAGAAAAUAGGUGCCCGUACCGCAAACCGACACAGGUAGUCAAGAUGAGAAUUCUAAGGUGAGCGAGCGAACUCUCGUUAAGGAACUCGGCAAAAUGACCCCGUAACUUCGGGAGAAGGGGUGCUCUUUAGGGUUAACGCCCAGAAGAGCCGCAGUGAAUAGGCCCAAGCGACUGUUUAUCAAAAACACAGGUCUCUGCUAAACCGUAAGGUGAUGUAUAGGGGCUGACGCCUGCCCGGUGCUGGAAGGUUAAGAGGAGUGGUUAGCUUCUGCGAAGCUACGAAUCGAAGCCCCAGUAAACGGCGGCCGUAACUAUAACGGUCCUAAGGUAGCGAAAUUCCUUGUCGGGUAAGUUCCGACCCGCACGAAAGGCGUAACGAUUUGGGCACUGUCUCAACGAGAGACUCGGUGAAAUCAUAGUACCUGUGAAGAUGCAGGUUACCCGCGACAGGACGGAAAGACCCCGUGGAGCUUUACUGUAGCCUGAUAUUGAAAUUCGGCACAGCUUGUACAGGAUAGGUAGGAGCCUUUGAAACGUGAGCGCUAGCUUACGUGGAGGCGCUGGUGGGAUACUACCCUAGCUGUGUUGGUUUUCUAACCCGCACCACUUAUCGUGGUGGGAGACAGUGUCAGGCGGGCAGUUUGACUGGGGCGGUCGCCUCCUAAAAGGUAACGGAGGCGCUCAAAGGUUCCCUCAGAAUGGUUGGAAAUCAUUCAUAGAGUGUAAAGGCAUAAGGGAGCUUGACUGCGAGACCUACAAGUCGAGCAGGGUCGAAAGACGGACUUAGUGAUCCGGUGGUUCCGCAUGGAAGGGCCAUCGCUCAACGGAUAAAAGCUACCCCGGGGAUAACAGGCUUAUCUCCCCCAAGAGUUCACAUCGACGGGGAGGUUUGGCACCUCGAUGUCGGCUCAUCGCAUCCUGGGGCUGUAGUCGGUCCCAAGGGUUGGGCUGUUCGCCCAUUAAAGCGGUACGCGAGCUGGGUUCAGAACGUCGUGAGACAGUUCGGUCCCUAUCCGUCGUGGGCGUAGGAAAUUUGAGAGGAGCUGUCCUUAGUACGAGAGGACCGGGAUGGACAUACCUCUGGUGUACCAGUUGUCGUGCCAACGGCAUAGCUGGGUAGCUAUGUGUGGACGGGAUAAGUGCUGAAAGCAUCUAAGCAUGAAGCCCCCCUCAAGAUGAGAUUUCCCAACUUCGGUUAUAAGAUCCCUCAAAGAUGAUGAGGUUAAUAGGUUCGAGGUGGAAGCAUGGUGACAUGUGGAGCUGACGAAUACUAA